RNAcentral lists this ribosomal RNA (499 nucleotides) under uncultured bacterium. RNAcentral's name for it is "partial 16S ribosomal RNA". It matches the Rfam family "Bacterial small subunit ribosomal RNA", at positions 28 to 507 of the family's 1533-position model. The record is from RNAcentral.
GACGAACGCUGGCGGCGUGCCUAAUACAUGCAAGUCGAGCGAAGUUUUUCUGGUGCUUGCACCGGAAAAACUUAGCGGCGAACGGGUGAGUAACACGUAAAGAACCUGCCUCAUAGACUGGGAUAACUAUUGGAAACGAUAGCUAAUACCGGAUAAUAGCAUUAACUGCAUGGUUGAUGUUUAAAAGUUGGUUUUGCUAACACUAUGAGAUGGCUUUGCGGUGCAUUAGCUAGUUGGUGGGGUAAAGGCCUACCAAGGCGACGAUGCAUAGCCGACCUGAGAGGGUGAUCGGCCACACUGGGACUGAGACACGGCCCAGACUCCUACGGGAGGCAGCAGUAGGGAAUCUUCCGCAAUGGGCGAAAGCCUGACGGAGCAACGCCGCGUGAGUGAAGAAGGAUUUCGGUUCGUAAAGCUCUGUUGUUAGGGAAGAAUGGUUGUGUAGUAACUAUACACAGUAGAGACGGUACCUAACCAGAAAGCCACGGCUAACUACGUG